Molecule: ribosomal RNA, 497 nt
Filed under: uncultured bacterium
Lineage: Bacteria
Description: partial 16S ribosomal RNA
Rfam family: Bacterial small subunit ribosomal RNA
Source: RNAcentral
GAUGAACGCUGGCGGCGUGCCUAAUACAUGCAAGUCGAGCGAACGGACGAGAAGCUUGCUUCUCUGAUGUUAGCGGCGGACGGGUGAGUAACACGUGGAUAACCUACCUAUAAGACUGGGAUAACUUCGGGAAACCGGAGCUAAUACCGGAUAAUAUUUUGAACCGCAUGGUUCAACAGAGAAAGACGGUCUUGCUGUCACUUAUAGAUGGAACCGCGCUGCAUUAGCUAGUUGGUAAGGUAACGGCUUACCAAGGCAACGAUGCAUAGCCGACCUGAGAGGGUGAUCGGCCACACUGGAACUGAGACACGGUCCAGACUCCUACGGGAGGCAGCAGUAGGGAAUCUUCCGCAAUGGGCGAAAGCCUGACGGAGCAACGCCGCGUGAGUGAUGAAGGUCUUCGGAUCGUAAAACUCUGUUAUUAGGGAAGAACAUAUGUGUAAGUAACUGUGCACAUCUUGACGGUACCUACUCAGAAAGCCACGGCUAACUACGUG